Molecule: small nucleolar RNA, 120 nt
Filed under: Microtus ochrogaster (prairie vole)
Lineage: Eukaryota; Metazoa; Chordata; Mammalia; Rodentia; Cricetidae
Description: Small nucleolar RNA SNORA70 (ENSMOCG00000005718.1)
Rfam family: Small nucleolar RNA SNORA70
About the family: snoRNA U70 seems to be exclusive to mammals and is a member of the H/ACA class of snoRNA which contain H (ANANNA) and ACA box motifs. H/ACA box snoRNAs are involved in the conversion of uridines to pseudouridines (5-ribosyluracil) a constituent of structural RNAs (transfer, ribosomal, small nuclear, and small nucleolar).
Source: RNAcentral
CGGCAGCCAAUUGAGCCAACCAGGAAGGUCCCUUUGCCCCAUGGGGGGGCCUGGCGUGCUAUGGUUGCACAGAGCAACCUUUUACCUAUGUGGUUGUCCUAAAGGAAGUAGGAAACAAUU